This 293-nucleotide ribosomal RNA is filed under the name uncultured bacterium. RNAcentral describes it as "partial 16S ribosomal RNA". The record is from RNAcentral. RNAcentral also lists the same sequence under 2 other names.
GGACUACUGGGGUAUCUAAUCCCGUUUGCUCCCCUGGCUUUCGCGUCUCAGCGUCAGUAAGAGCCCAGGACCUCGCUUUCGCCACGGGCGUUCCUUCCGAUCUCAACGCAUUUCACCGCUCCACCGGAAGUUCCAGGUCCCCCUACUCCCCUCCAGACCGGUCGUAUCGGUGCCAAUUCCCCGGUUGAGCCGGGGGAUUUCAACAUCCGACGUGCCGAUCCGCCUACACGCGCUUUAAGCCCAGUGAUUCCGAAUAACGUUUGCACGGUUCGUCUUACCGCGGCGGCUGGCAC